RNAcentral lists this ribosomal RNA (468 nucleotides) under uncultured bacterium. RNAcentral describes it as "partial 16S ribosomal RNA". It matches the Rfam family "Bacterial small subunit ribosomal RNA", at positions 28 to 507 of the family's 1533-position model. The record is from RNAcentral.
GACGAACGCUGGCGGCGUGCUUAACACAUGCAAGUCGAACGGAAAGGCCCUGCUUUUGUGGGGUUCUCGAUUGGCGAACGGGUGAGUAACACGUGUGUAACCUGCCCUUGACUUUGGGAUAACUUCAGGAAACUGGGGCUAAUACCGGAUAUGAUCUCCUGCUGCAUGGUGGGGGUUGGAAAGUUUCGGCGGUUGGGGAUGGACUCGCUGCUUAUCAGCUUGUUUGUGGGGUAGUGGCUUACCAAGGAUUUGACGGGUAGCCGGCCUGUGAGGGUGACCGGGCAAAUUGGGAAUGAGAUAAGGACCAGAAGCAAACGGGAGGCAGCAGGGGGGAAGAGUGCAGAAUGGGAGGAAGCCGGAGGAAGCAACGCAGCGAGCGGGAUGACGGGCUUCGGGUUGUAAACAGAUUGAGAAUGAGACGAAGAGUGAGUGACGGUAAUGGGUAAAGAAGCACCGGCUAACUACGUG